Molecule: ribosomal RNA, 468 nt
Filed under: uncultured bacterium
Lineage: Bacteria
Description: partial 16S ribosomal RNA
Rfam family: Bacterial small subunit ribosomal RNA
Source: RNAcentral
GACGAACGCUGGCGGCGUGCUUAACACAUGCAAGUCGAACGGAAAGGCCCUGCUUUUGUGGGGUGCUCGAGUGGCGAACGGGUGAGUAACACGUGAGUAACCUGCCCUUGACUUUGGGAUAACUUCAGGAAACUGGGGCUAAUACCGGAUAGGAGCUCCUGGUGCAUGGUGGGGGUUGGAAAGUUUCGGCGGUUGGGGAUGGACUCGCGGCUUAUCAGCUUGUUGGUGGGGUAGUGGCUUACCAAGGCUUUGACGGGUAGCCGGCCUGAGAGGGUGACCGGCCACAUUGGGACUGAGAUACGGCCCAGACUCCUACGGGAGGCAGCAGUGGGGAAUAUUGCACAAUGGGCGGAAGCCUGAUGUAGCAACGCCGCGUGCGGGAUGACGGCCUUCGGGUUGUAAACCGCUUUCGCCUGUGACGAAGCGUGAGUGACGGUAAUGGGUAAAGAAGCACCGGCUAACUACGUG